This 404-nucleotide ribosomal RNA is filed under the name uncultured bacterium. Its description in RNAcentral is "partial 16S ribosomal RNA". It matches the Rfam family "Bacterial small subunit ribosomal RNA", at positions 28 to 526 of the family's 1533-position model. The record is from RNAcentral.
GACGAACGCUGGCGGCGUGCUUAACACAUGCAAGUCGAACGAGUGGCGAACGGGUGAGUAAUACGUGGGGAACCCUCCCUCUUUUUGGGAUAAGCCUUGGAAACGGGGUCUAAUAACCAAUAACGGGGGAUGGGCUCGCGGCCUAUCAGCUUGGUGGUGGGGUGAUGGCCUACCAAGGCGGUGACGCGUAGCCGGCCCGGGAGGGUGACCGGCCACAUCUGGGCUGGGACCAGGGCCAGACUCCUACGGGAGGGCGCAGUUGGGAAUCAUCGGAAAUGGGGGAAAGGCUGACGGAGCAACGCCGGCGGGUAGAUAGCGGCCCUCGGGGUGUAAAGCUCUUUUAAGCGGGGCGGUACCGGAAUAAGAAGCCACGGCUAACUACGUGCCAGCAGCCGCGGUAAUAC